UGGGGAAUAUUGGGCAAUGGGCGCAAGCCUGACCCAGCAACGCCGCGUGAAGGAAGAAGGCUUUCGGGUUGUAAACUUCUUUUAUGAGGGACGAAAAAAAUGACGGUACCUCAUGAAUAAGCCACGGCUAACUACGUGCCAGCAGCCGCGGUAAUACGUAGGUGGCAAGCGUUAUCCGGAUUUACUGGGUGUAAAGGGCGUGUAGGCGGGACUGUAAGUCAGGCGUGAAAACCAUGGGCUCAACCCAUGGCCUGCGUUUGAAACUAUAGUUCUUGAGUGUCGGAGAGGUAAUCGGAAUUCCGUGUGUAGCGGUGAAAUGCGUAGAUAUACGGAGGAACACCAGUGGCGAAGGCGGAUUACUGGACGAUAACUGACGCUGAGGCGCGAAAGCGUGGGGAGCAAACAG
RNAcentral lists this ribosomal RNA (406 nucleotides) under uncultured bacterium. RNAcentral describes it as "bacterial SSU rRNA". It matches the Rfam family "Bacterial small subunit ribosomal RNA", at positions 355 to 775 of the family's 1533-position model. The record is from RNAcentral.